AGGGUAUUUCUCCCCCUCCCUCUCUGCCUAAGGCAGUGUCUCUGGCACCUCCUCCGUGGCUCCAGCUCCCACCACACUGUCCCACAGCAGUUUUGCACUUAGGUA
Ceratotherium simum simum (southern white rhinoceros) is the source of this 105-nucleotide non-coding RNA. The record is from RefSeq and is a predicted model, not a curated record. NCBI's taxonomy places the organism in Eukaryota, Metazoa, Chordata, Mammalia, Perissodactyla, Rhinocerotidae.